Molecule: long non-coding RNA, 1981 nt
Filed under: Triticum aestivum (bread wheat)
Lineage: Eukaryota; Viridiplantae; Streptophyta; Magnoliopsida; Poales; Poaceae
Description: long non-coding RNA (TAES_LNC019443)
Source: RNAcentral
UACUACAUAAAUAAAAAUAAAUGGUAUGGAAACUCCAAUGGAGAAAAUAAAGUUAGGUUUCAAACGUUCACCGUGUACAUGCAACAGGUCAAUUUGGAUAAGGGAAAGGGAUCUCAGUAUCUCACAGUUCCAAACUCCUAAUACAGGGAGGAAUAAAAGACAACACAUUCCCAUUCAGUGCAAGAUCUAACAGAAUCACGUGUAGUCAGUUAAAUAUAUGUUGUCAUAGACGGAGAAGGCAUUUACUCAGAUCAUCUUGCAAGAUCUAACGGAAUCACAGAUAUAACCUGUUUGGUAUAAAUACGGAAGUAACUAGCCUAGUCCUAUCUCCCAUGUUGCCACUGGUCCACAGUGACAGCUUAAUCCAUUGUAAAAUGAACACAGCUUAAGUAUAAUGAACAAACCCGCACGGAAUGUAGAAAUCUCAGUUCACCAAACGCACAGCAUAUGCAGCAAACUUAAGAACACCACUCGUGCUAUGGAAACUACGCCUUCAAAAGUCACAACCGGCCACACUGCUUCCACAGUAAUUCCACCAUAAACAGGGGCGGGGGAGCUACAGUGGCAAGCUUAAUCUGGCCACACAUCAUAGAUGGAGUUUACUAUGAAUGUAUGAUUGGUUCACCAAGACAUUGCUCUAACUGAAUGCUUCUUAGCAAAUAACGGACUGUACUGCUUGCCACUAACUUUUUUGCGUAUACUUUUUGGUCCAUGGUGCUGACUUGGCCAUACCAAAAUUUCAAUCCGUCCUCCGCCACUGACCAGAAAGACAAAUGGCACAACCUCCUAAAGUGACAGCUUCAUAGGAGGAAUUAGACCUCGGAACCCCUGCUUUAUGUAUCACGUUACAGAAAUGUUAAUGCCCACAGUUAGGCCAUAAAUUUUCCAAUUAAACUAGCAUUAUUUCUAGUAUUGUAGUUUCACCUGGAUUAAUACGGGAGAAUAAUGCAGCGUUACUGCAUUUUUUUUGGAGCACUUACUAAUUCUCGAAAUUUAAGCAAUCUGUAACAUUACCAAAACAGUGAGAGAAAAUUUGAAUAAAAAACUACUAGCGAAUAAAACGAUGCAUUACAUGGUUCAAACCAAAAACCAAACUACAUUUUGAUUUAAGUUUACUGCUGAUUAUAAUUUAAAACCUCACACGAAUCCACUCGCUCGUUUCCCAGUCUAACACAAGCGAGAGAGAACAGGAAACGAGCCAGAAUGACCCAUGACCCACUAAUCAGCUACUCCCUCCUUUCCGGCUUAUAGGGCUCAAUUCAAAAAUCUCACCAAACAAGGUAGAUGAUGAGUGGUGGAAUACUUUUUGUAGUUUGCAAAAGCACCUAAUUAAUGCUCUUGUUUUUCUCAAAAAAUUAUGUUUAUCAAUGUAUUAAUUGCAAUGCAUGCAUGCAUAAAGUACAUGCAUUGAUCAAUUUUCUCUUAAUACUUACAUGCAAUGAUUUAAUGCACCUUGGAAUCUGAACAUGUGAUGGAGAACAACCAGAUUAAGCCUUAUAAAAUAAAAAAACUAAAAUUUUAAGAUAAGCCCUAUAAACCGAAAAAAGGAAGUACGGCGUUGGACUGGCUGCUGAUCAGGGGCACGCCGCGCCAUGAGCAGAACGAAGCGAAGCUUCAACGCGUCACUCACAACCACAAGCGCGCCGCACCGAGACUACCACCGAUUUUACGCGCGACGGCACGCUCCGUCCGUCCAGCCGCGGAGGGAUCGGGAGGGGGAGGGGGAGGAGGAGGAACAAGGGACUGCACUGGAUACUUACAGAGGAACUGGAGCUCGCGGGGGCGGAUCUCUAGGAGGGCCUCCCCGCUUCCAAGAACAGCAGCCAAGCAAAUACUUUGACUUUGUUGGGAUCUAUGGAUCCAAGACUAGUGCAGCAUUGGGGUGGACGUCAAUCUUCUGCCAUGGUCUUUGAGUACGAGAGAAAGAGAGGUGGUGCUGGUCCUCAAGGCGGAAGUCCGGCUAGACAGCAAACGCAGCGCA